This 488-nucleotide ribosomal RNA is filed under the name uncultured bacterium. RNAcentral describes it as "bacterial SSU rRNA". It matches the Rfam family "Bacterial small subunit ribosomal RNA", at positions 28 to 528 of the family's 1533-position model. The record is from RNAcentral.
GAUGAACGCUAGCGGCAGGCUUAAUACAUGCAAGUCAAGGGGGUAGCAAUACAACCGGCGCACGGGUGAGUAACGCGUACACAACAUACCAUAUACUGGAGUAUAGCUUUGGGAAACUGAAGGUAAUCCUCCAUAACAUUGCGAGAGGGCAUCUGAUUGCAAUUAAAGUUUCGGCGGUAUAUGAUUGGUGUGCGUUUGAUUAGCUAGUUGGUAGGGUAACGGCCUACCAAGGCGACGAUCAAUAGCUGGCGUGAGAGCGCGACCAGCCACACUGGAACUGAGACACGGUCCAGACUCCUACGGGAGGCAGCAGUAGGGAAUAUUGGACAAUGGAGGAAACUCUGAUCCAGCCAUGCCGCGUGAUAGAUGAAGGCCCUCUGGGUUGUAAAUAUCUUUUAUCUGGGAAGAAACACUCCUAUUCUUAGGAACUUGACGGUACCAGAGGAUAAGCACCGGCUAACUCCGUGCCAGCAGCCGCGGUAAUGUAG